GACGAACGCUGGCGGCGUGCUUAACACAUGCAAGUCGAACGGAAAGGCCCUGCUUUUGUGGGGUGCUCGAGUGGCGAACGGGUGAGUAACACGUGAGUAACCUGCCCUUGACUUUGGGAUAACUUCAGGAAACUGGGGCUAAUACCGGAUAGGAGCUCCUGCUGCAUGGUGGGGGUUGGAAAGUUUCGGCGGUUGGGGAUGGACUCGCGGCUUAUCAGCUUGUUGGUGGGGUAGUGGCUUACCAAGGCUUUGACGGGUAGCCGGCCUGGGAGGGUGACCGGCCACAUUGGGACUGAGAUACGGCACAGACUCCUACGGGAGGAAGCAGUGGGGAAUAUUGCACAAUGGGCGGAAGACUGAUGCAGCAACGCCGCGUGCGGGAUGACGGCCUUCGGGUUGUAAACCGCUUUCGCCUGUGACGAAGCGUGAGUGACGGUAAUGGGUAAAGAAGCACCGGCUAACUACGUG
RNAcentral lists this ribosomal RNA (468 nucleotides) under uncultured bacterium. RNAcentral describes it as "partial 16S ribosomal RNA". It matches the Rfam family "Bacterial small subunit ribosomal RNA", at positions 28 to 507 of the family's 1533-position model. The record is from RNAcentral.